This 200-nucleotide ribosomal RNA is filed under the name uncultured bacterium. RNAcentral describes it as "partial 16S ribosomal RNA". It matches the Rfam family "Bacterial small subunit ribosomal RNA", at positions 32 to 222 of the family's 1533-position model. The record is from RNAcentral.
AAUCAACGCUGGCGGCGUGCCUCAGACAUGCAAGUCGAACGAUUAAACUUUCCUUCGGGAAGGAUAUAAAGUGGCGCACGGGUGAGUAACACGUAAGUAAUCUACCCUCGAGUGGGGAAUAACAUCGGGAAACCGAUGCUAAUACCGCAUAACGCAGCGGCACCGCAAGGUGACAGUUGUUAAAGGAGUAAUUCGCUUGA